Molecule: unclassified non-coding RNA, 298 nt
Filed under: plant metagenome
Description: partial contains 5.8S ribosomal RNA, internal transcribed spacer 2, and large subunit ribosomal RNA
Rfam family: 5.8S ribosomal RNA (bases 1-105)
Source: RNAcentral
GAAAUGCGAUAAGUAAUGUGAAUUGCAGAAUUCAGUGAAUCAUCGAAUCUUUGAACGCACAUUGCGCCCCCUGGUAUUCCUGGGGGCAUGCCUGUUCGAGCGUCAUUUCACCACUCAAGCCUCGCUUGGUAUUGGGCAACGCGGUCCGCCGCGUGCCUCAAAUCGACCGGCUGGGUCUUCUGUCCCCUAAGCGUUGUGGAAACUAUUCGCUAAAGGGUGUUCGGGAGGCUACGCCGUAAAACAACCCCAUUUCUAAGGUUGACCUCGGAUCAGGUAGGGAUACCCGCUGAACUUAAGC